GUGACUAUAGCUCAGAUGUAGAGCACUGGUCUUGUAAAUCAGAGGUCGAAUCACAUUCUAGUCACU
This 66-nucleotide transfer RNA is filed under the name Diffalaba opiniosa. RNAcentral describes it as "tRNA-Thr". It matches the Rfam family "tRNA". Rfam says of the family: Transfer RNA (tRNA) molecules are approximately 80 nucleotides in length. Their secondary structure includes four short double-helical elements and three loops (D, anti-codon, and T loops). Further hydrogen bonds mediate the characteristic L-shaped molecular structure. tRNAs have two regions of fundamental functional importance: the anti-codon, which is responsible for specific mRNA codon recognition, and the 3' end, to which the tRNAs corresponding amino acid is attached (by aminoacyl-tRNA synthetases). tRNAs cope with the degeneracy of the genetic code in two manners: having more than one tRNA (with a specific anti-codon) for a particular amino acid; and 'wobble' base-pairing, i.e. permitting non-standard base-pairing at the 3rd anti-codon position. Lineage: Eukaryota; Metazoa; Mollusca; Gastropoda; Litiopidae. The record is from RNAcentral.